AUAUAUAUAUAUACAUAAACAUAUAUAUAAUAUGUAUAUGUAUAUGUAUGUAUGUAUGCAUGUGUGUGUGUGUGUAUAUAUAU
Podarcis lilfordi (Lilford's wall lizard) is the source of this 83-nucleotide non-coding RNA. NCBI's taxonomy places the organism in Eukaryota, Metazoa, Chordata, Lepidosauria, Squamata, Lacertidae. The record is from the annotation of a GenBank genome assembly.